UAUAGACAGGUCUUGGACCUUGUGAGGGGGUUAGGCUCCCAUUAGAUUGAGGGAGGUUAUGCUCCCAGAUACUGAUUGUAAACUACUUUUGUUGAUGAGAAUACAGAUAAUUCAUUAUUUUCCAAUUGUUUUCUUGUUGUGAUUGUGUGAGUGAGUUGUCUUAGUUAGGCUUCAAAACCAGAUACCUAACAAUUAGGUUAUUGUAUUUUUUUUGAAACAUUUUGGUAUCAAAGUCAGAGGGAGAUAGGUGUGUUGAAAGUAUAUAGCAUUUAUGACUAAAUUACAAAAAUUAUUUGAAUGAUGGUUGAAUUA
This is a non-coding RNA of Vigna umbellata (rice bean), 312 nucleotides long. The record is from RefSeq and is a predicted model, not a curated record. NCBI's taxonomy places the organism in Eukaryota, Viridiplantae, Streptophyta, Magnoliopsida, Fabales, Fabaceae.